This is a long non-coding RNA of Dicentrarchus labrax (European seabass), 1557 nucleotides long. RefSeq lists it as uncharacterized. The record is from RefSeq and is a predicted model, not a curated record. The transcript has 3 exons. NCBI's taxonomy places the organism in Eukaryota, Metazoa, Chordata, Actinopteri, Moronidae.
GAUAUCCUGGGUUUAAGUGUGUGCAAUGUGUGUGUGUGUGUGUGUGUGUGUGAUUGCAUGUCUAGCUGGAUCACUGCUUGUGAGAAGCUAACACUGGCUCUUUUUCUCUUUGAGGGAGGCCCUGCGGCUGUUCAGGGCCUAAAUCUCAUAAUGGCUUCAAUAACAGCCCCAUAUCUUCGUGACAGCUAUUUCAAAGGCCUGGCGGGUUUAAUGUACUGUACACCACAAUUCACACUGACAGCACAACACAGACAAUAGAAAAUAGAUUAUAAACACCUUACCUCAGCAAAAAAAAAAAGGCAGGAUGGAAAUGGGAUCGUAAACUGAUUGGCAGUUUGGCACGAUAUGCCAUAAAAAGUGUUUUCAUAAGGACAGGCUCUACAGCACAGCUCACUGCUGUAGUUAAAGCUGGCAUAACUUGUUAAUAGCUUGUUUACAGUAUGAUAUGACAGCCCAAUGAAAGUGAAUUUUUUAAGAUCAAGGGGGAAAUACUAAGGUGUGGAUUUCACUGAAGGAUCACAUUAACAGCGUUAAACUAGUACUCCAGCACAACUUCACUAUGUUACUGAGAUACUGCUCUUUAAUGGUGUCUUAUAAAGCAGCAGAAAAAACACUUAUGUCAUGGAAUGACAGCCAGAUUCAAGGGGAACUGCACCAAUUUUACACUUAAAAAAAGGUUUGCAGGUCUUGGGCAUUGCAACUACAUAUGUGAAAAAAGUCAUAUUAAGCCUUUAGUGGCUCCAGUGUGAGCUGCGUGAAAUCUGAUGAAUAGACCUUUUUCACAGAAGCCAUUUUGACAGAAAAUAGUGGGGUAAACACAUGUGUACUUACGGUUCAGUUCCAUUCAGGUCAAACAGAGUCAGGGUGCUCUGCUACACUAAAUGGAAUGGAACCUUAAUUAGUAUCAUUGGUAACACCUGUGUUUACCCUAUUAUUAUUAUUAUUAACUCAAGUGAUGUCACUUUAGUCAGAGUCAGACUAUGAAAAUGCUGCUUGAGGCUAGCGUCUCAAGGCCACAUCAGCUACUACUAGAAUAAUAAACCCGAAUCUCUGACCAAACUGUUGACAGUUGAGUUUCAUUGUGGGUAAUUUAGGUGCCAAGUUUUGACAAGGAAGAAGAAUUUGUGGAAUAAGGAAUCUCUGCUUCUGCUGCAUCGGUUUUGAUCUUUUUGAACUUUCCAUGCAGUGCUAAAUCUGUGGAGAACUAUUUUCACUUUAUCCUGUAGACUGUGAUUCUUUCCAGAGCAGUACACCCACUGCCAGGGAGGGGUUAAAGGCUAAAUCAUCCAGUUGAAGUAUUGUAACUUGAUGGGCAGCAGCUCCACUCCACAAGAUGACAAUGAUACAUCUGGUUGGUUUUAGGUUUGUACACCUCAACUGAUGCUGCCAAAUGCCUUCAAAAUGUCUUCAUUGGACAACCACAACAAAAAUAAUUAACUGGGAGGUUACUUCAGGAAUCAGCAUUCAGGAAUCCAAAGAGUAGCAUGUGUCAACAGCGCUGCAAGGUCAAAAGGACAUGCCGUCUUUGGACACACACAGCCCUCUUCACUCAUCCUC